This 72-nucleotide transfer RNA is filed under the name Loxodonta africana (African savanna elephant). It matches the Rfam family "tRNA". From Rfam's summary of the family: Transfer RNA (tRNA) molecules are approximately 80 nucleotides in length. The record is from Rfam by way of RNAcentral. Lineage: Eukaryota; Metazoa; Chordata; Mammalia; Proboscidea; Elephantidae.
GCCCUGGUGGUGCAGUGGUUAAGUGCUCGGCUGCUAACUGAAAGGUUAGUGGUUCAAACCCACUCUGUGGCU